AGCCUUCUCCUCCCUCCACCACUUCCUCCCCCAGGAAGUCUGAGGCUGUCUCCGGGAGAGCACUGACCGGUGGGUGCCUCUGCAGUGCAGCCAGAGCCCGGCACCAGGCCCGGAGAAGCAGGAGGCCGCUCACUGUGGGGAAACAGGGUUGCCUUUCUUCCCAUCCUAGAGAUUUCUCUCUUGAGUACAAACCCACCACAGGAACAAGUCAUCCAGACUUUGGGGAUGGCACCAGAAGAUCUCAGAAAUGACUGUCUCCCAAGUUAACAAGUGAUUGACACCUCCAGACAGAGAACAGGGGAUGGAGCCUUUGAGCCACCUCUCUAGAAGCCCCCUGUUCCUGCUGAUGGGCAGAACCACCUCUUUGGGACAGGAGUCCCCUGUGUUUCUCUUUUGCUAGCAAAGCAAUAACCCUUUUUCUCAAAACUGAGUCCUCUUCAUUGGAUCGGCAUCAGAGACAAAGGCUGAGAUUUCAGCGACAUUUUGGCACCCCAGAUGGGACCCAGGAGCAGCCCCCACUCCAGCUUUCUUGGGCAGCCCUGGCUCUCUGAGGAACCCCACUUCCAUGCUGAGGAUUCGUGGUCCUGGUGAACUUCUUGGGAGGCAGGAGAGGAAGGAGGCGAGGCGGCUUUGGGUAGAACCUAGGAGCUGUUCUCGAAAGUCAAGGGAGGGACUGGGGGACCGUCCCGGCAGCUGCUGAAGCUCCUUUGGCUUCAGGGAACUCCCGCCCUCUCUCCCUGAAUGGUACGGGGUGCUCCAUCCUGGUCCACUUUGAGAAAAAGGAAACUGAACUUUAGAAACUCGUGACAACUUUGGCCACUUGCCUAUAUUUCGCAACCAGCCCACUCUGUGAAGAGGAACCCCAAUUCCGUCGCCUGCACCGGAUGCGGGAGAGAGUGACCUGUGGUCAAUGUUAUAUAUACAAUUUUGUGCUGCUUUUCACACUGGAAUUGGAAUUUAAAUGCAUUUUUUGGAAGAUGAUAAGGAGAUCCUGAUCUGCUUAAAGGUGACAUUGUAAAACAUGGAGGCAGUCUGCCACUUUUUCCACAAAAAGAAAGUUAAAAGCUCUCUUAGACUUUCCUUGAUUCUUGUUUCCCAUGAAAUGUUGUGUUGUGUUAUUUGUGAAGAGCCCCCCUUGCCUGGGAUAAGGCUCUGCCUCCCACCUUACUCCAUGUCAAAAUGGCUCCAAAAUAAGCCACACUUCAGCUCAUUUAAAGUUGUGUUCAAAAGAUUGACUUUUUUUGUAAGGAUUACUGUGAUCUCCAACAGGGAUUAUAAUAUAUAACUAAGUGAAGGUUCAAGAUUAUAAAAGUCGUUUUUCUUGGUUCAUAGCUCUUACACAAACUGAAUAUAUUUUUGCUCUGUUUAUUUCAUUUUGUGUUUUCCUUGUAAACUUUAUAACUGUUGCCUGUUAGUGUUUUGCAGAGGUUCUGUUUCAAAAAACAAAAAAAAACACCAACCUGGUUUAAUUGGAGGUAAUAAACCUUCACCUACAGGAUAGUAUGUAAUGCUGACUUCCUGUACUAAUACUCAUCCCAAUGAAAUGAAAGGUGUGUCUGUGAAAUUAUAGAUAUUGAAGUUAUAACCUGUUACUCCCUCUUUACGAUUGGCAGAACUGGUUUUAAGUUGGGUGUUUAAAACCAAAAACUUGGAGACCGAAGUCAAGGAAGUAAAAGGACCAAGGGAAAGCAGCCCUGGACAUUUGGCCCCGGCCCUCUAAGGUCAGCCAGGGCCUAGACAACCAUGGGACCCCCUCUGGGCCCUGAAGCUCUGCAUGAUCCCUGCCCUCUGUACGCCUCGUCCCAUCAGGGCCAUCUGCCACUGUGGACCUCUGACUGCUCUGAGGCUGAGUGUCCUUACCUGUCCACACCCCACCUGAUGGAGAACAAGGACUUUGGGUCACUCCCCAACUUCGCCUCCCUUCAGCAGACAGUGGUUUGGAAAUGUUGUCGCCCAUUUCUCCACACAAAUGGAAUGUAGAAAUUGACAGUGAGGAAAUGUAACCAUGGUGUCCUUUAGGCCUUGAAUACAGCCCUUGCCACUGCCA
This is a non-coding RNA of Marmota flaviventris (yellow-bellied marmot), 2047 nucleotides long. The record is from RefSeq and is a predicted model, not a curated record. NCBI's taxonomy places the organism in Eukaryota, Metazoa, Chordata, Mammalia, Rodentia, Sciuridae.